GUGGCCUCUGACCUUCUGGGUAGGGGAUCGAGACUUGCAGCAGCUGGCUGUGUGCCAUCUCUGCCCAGAGCAUGGGAUCCCUGCACCAAGUGAGGAGCUGUGAGAUAGAUGCAGAGGCUGUUCUCAGACUGGUUAGGAAAAACACACGCUCUGUGGAGGAAAAUGCUACUUGUUCUGCUUUGUGGAAAUGAGAGAUGAAUGGUAAAUCUGAAGAAAUGGCUUGAAAAACCACAUUGGGUGUCAUCGGGAUAAGUGCUUAGUACAGUGCUCUGCACACAGUAAGCGCUCAAUAAAUAUUAAUGAAUGAAUGAA
Molecule: long non-coding RNA, 312 nt
Organism: Ornithorhynchus anatinus (platypus)
Lineage: Eukaryota; Metazoa; Chordata; Mammalia; Monotremata; Ornithorhynchidae
Exons: 2
Source: RefSeq, a predicted model, not a curated record